UGAUUUGGUGGUGUGAUUAGUUGGGUGCUAUGGUAGGAUGUGGUUGUAUCAUAUGCAUCAUCGAUUUUAUGGUAAAAUGUAGUGGCGGCAUAUGUUUGUUGGUGGUAUGAGUCAUGCUCUUGAUUUUGUGUUUGGGUGUGUAGCGUAAAUUGAUCGCGGGUUUUAGUGUAUGUGGGUUGGUAAUCGUGUUCGGUUGGUUGUUAGGUGUAUGUGGUUUGG
Molecule: long non-coding RNA, 219 nt
Filed under: Lathyrus oleraceus (garden pea)
Lineage: Eukaryota; Viridiplantae; Streptophyta; Magnoliopsida; Fabales; Fabaceae
Description: Pisum sativum (pea) long non-coding RNA (PSAT_LNC000765)
Source: RNAcentral